RNAcentral lists this transfer RNA (67 nucleotides) under Marmota monax (woodchuck). Its description in RNAcentral is "tRNA.Ala". Lineage: Eukaryota; Metazoa; Chordata; Mammalia; Rodentia; Sciuridae. The record is from RNAcentral.
GGAUGUGGCUCAGUGGUAGAGCAUUUGCUGGGCGUGCCUGAGGCCCUGGGUUCAAUCCCCAGCACCA